Dalotia coriaria is the source of this 726-nucleotide long non-coding RNA. RefSeq lists it as uncharacterized. The record is from RefSeq and is a predicted model, not a curated record. NCBI's taxonomy places the organism in Eukaryota, Metazoa, Arthropoda, Insecta, Coleoptera, Staphylinidae. The transcript is spliced from 2 exons.
GCUGCAAACGUAUAAUCAACUUUUUUUGUAUUGAACCUUGGAAUUUUCUUCCAAAACUUAAUUUUGUUGAGUAAGUUUUUAAAAUUUAUUAAAAUACCAUGAAUAACACAUAAGUAAUUAUUGUUUUCUGGAUUAUUGCAAAACCAUGUUAUGUUAAAACUAUCUCAAAUAUUCUAGAAUUGCAAAAGAUGCGCAAUAAUUCUUGUUUGACGUAUGUAAAACGCUGAAUGUAAAAAACAGGUUUUUUUGUUAUCUUAAACAAAUUCUAAUCAACUAAUUUACUUUCAAGCCUAUUUUAAAAUUCAUAAAAUUUACAUGUUAACCCACUUACAAAUACUUAUAAAAAGAGACAUGAGCUUCAAACUUCGUGACUUCAAACAAAAUCAUUAUGAAAUUCCUCGUUUUAAUAUUUUUGGGCUUAAUGUCCUUUGCCCAAACAAAACCCCAGAUUAAUUUUAUACCAGAUUGUUCUGCGAGAGCUAAUACUCAGUUUAUGACAUGUCAAUCCUCAACACAACCAACAUGUGAAAACCCAAACCCAGAAAUUCAACUGAUGGACUGUAAAAAUAUGUGUGUAUGCAAAUCUGGUUUCUUAUUAAAUGGAAAUGACUGUGUUCCAAGGAAUUCAUGCCCUACACCCGGUAAAGCUUUCUGGGGGUAACUUAGAAUUCAAAUUGAAUGUAGUUUUUGUUUAGAUUGUUCAAAUAUAGCAAACAGUGAGUUGAA